GAAACCGUGUACGUACAAGCAGUGGGAGCACGCUUAGGCGUGUGACUGCGUACCUUUUGUAUAAUGGGUCAGCGACUUAUAUUCUGUAGCAAGGUUAACCGAAUAGGGGAGCCGAAGGGAAACCGAGUCUUAACUGGGCGUUAAGUUGCAGGGUAUAGACCCGAAACCCGGUGAUCUAGCCAUGGGCAGGUUGAAGGUUGGGUAACACUAACUGGAGGACCGAACCGACUAAUGUUGAAAAAUUAGCGGAUGACUUGUGGCUGGGGGUGAAAGGCCAAUCAAACCGGGAGAUAGCUGGUUCUCCCCGAAAGCUAUUUAGGUAGCGCCUCGUGAAUUCAUCUCCGGGGGUAGAGCACUGUUUCGGCAAGGGGGUCAUCCCGACUUACCAACCCGAUGCAAACUGCGAAUACCGGAGAAUGUUAUCACGGGAGACACACGGCGGGUGCUAACGUCCGUCGUGAAGAGGGAAACAACCCAGACCGCCAGCUAAGGUCCCAAAGUCAUGGUUAAGUGGGAAACGAUGUGGGAAGGCCCAGACAGCCAGGAUGUUGGCUUAGAAGCAGCCAUCAUUUAAAGAAAGCGUAAUAGCUCACUGGUCGAGUCGGCCUGCGCGGAAGAUGUAACGGGGCUAAACCAUGCACCGAAGCUGCGGCAGCGACGCUUAUGCGUUGUUGGGUAGGGGAGCGUUCUGUAAGCCUGUGAAGGUGUACUGUGAGGUAUGCUGGAGGUAUCAGAAGUGCGAAUGCUGACAUAAGUAACGAUAAAGCGGGUGAAAAGCCCGCUCGCCGGAAGACCAAGGGUUCCUGUCCAACGUUAAUCGGGGCAGGGUGAGUCGACCCCUAAGGCGAGGCCGAAAGGCGUAGUCGAUGGGAAACAGGUUAAUAUUCCUGUACUUGGUGUUACUGCGAAGGGGGGACGGAGAAGGCUAUGUUGGCCGGGCGACGGUUGUCCCGGUUUAAGCGUGUAGGCUGGUUUUCCAGGCAAAUCCGGAAAAUCAAGGCUGAGGCGUGAUGACGAGGCACUACGGUGCUGAAGCAACAAAUGCCCUGCUUCCAGGAAAAGCCUCUAAGCAUCAGGUAACAUCAAAUCGUACCCCAAACCGACACAGGUGGUCAGGUAGAGAAUACCAAGGCGCUUGAGAGAACUCGGGUGAAGGAACUAGGCAAAAUGGUGCCGUAACUUCGGGAGAAGGCACGCUGAUAUGUAGGUGAAGUCCCUCGCGGAUGGAGCUGAAAUCAGUCGAAGAUACCAGCUGGCUGCAACUGUUUAUUAAAAACACAGCACUGUGCAAACACGAAAGUGGACGUAUACGGUGUGACGCCUGCCCGGUGC
This 1332-nucleotide ribosomal RNA is filed under the name Escherichia coli. RNAcentral's name for it is "partial 23S ribosomal RNA". It matches the Rfam family "Bacterial large subunit ribosomal RNA", at positions 552 to 1869 of the family's 2925-position model. Lineage: Bacteria; Pseudomonadati; Pseudomonadota; Gammaproteobacteria; Enterobacterales; Enterobacteriaceae. The record is from RNAcentral.